RNAcentral lists this ribosomal RNA (433 nucleotides) under uncultured bacterium. RNAcentral's name for it is "partial 16S ribosomal RNA". It matches the Rfam family "Bacterial small subunit ribosomal RNA", at positions 29 to 507 of the family's 1533-position model. The record is from RNAcentral.
AACGAACGCUGGCGGCAUGCCUAACACAUGCAAGUCGAACGAUGCCUCCGGGCAUAGUGGCGCACGGGUGCGUAACGCGUGGGAAUCUGCCCUUGGGUUCGGAAUAACUCGCCGAAAGGCGAGCUAAUACCGGAUGAUGACGUAAGUCCAAAGAUUUAUCGCCCAAGGAUGGGCCCGCGUAGGAUUAGCUAGUUGGUGGGGUAAAGGCCCACCAAGGCGACGAUCCUUAGCUGGUCUGAGAGUAUGAUCAGCCACACUGGGACUGAGACACGGCCCAGACUCCUACGGGAGGCAGCAGUGGGGAAUAUUGGACAAUGGGCGAAAGCCUGAUCCAGCAAUGCCGCGUGAGUGAUGAAGGCCUUAGGGUUGUAAAGCUCUUUUACCCGGGAUGAUAAUGACAGUACCGGGAGAAUAAGCUCCGGCUAACUCCGUG